RNAcentral lists this ribosomal RNA (482 nucleotides) under uncultured bacterium. RNAcentral describes it as "partial 16S ribosomal RNA". It matches the Rfam family "Bacterial small subunit ribosomal RNA", at positions 30 to 507 of the family's 1533-position model. The record is from RNAcentral.
AUUGAACGCUGGCGGCAUGCCUUACACAUGCAAGUCGAACGGUAACGGGCCUUCGGGUGCCGCCGAGUGGCGCACGGGUGAGUAAUACAUCGGAACGUUCCCGAUCGUGGGGGAUAACGAGGCGAAAGCUUUGCUAAUACCGCAUACGAUCUACGGAUGACAGCAGGGGACCGCAAGGCCUUGCGCGGACGGAGCGGCCGAUGGCAGAUUAGGUAGUUGGUGGGAUAAAAGCUUACCAAGCCGACGAUCUGUAGCUGGUCUGAGAGGAUGAUCAGCCACACUGGGACUGAGACACGGCCCAGACUCCUACGGGAGGCAGCAGUGGGGAAUUUUGGACAAUGGGCGCAAGCCUGAUCCAGCCAUGCCGCGUGCAGGAUGAAGGCCUUCGGGUUGUAAACUGCUUUUGUACGGAACGAAAAGCCUUCUUUUAAUACAGGAGGGUCAUGACGGUACCGUAAGAAUAAGCACCGGCUAACUACGUG